This 619-nucleotide ribosomal RNA is filed under the name uncultured bacterium. RNAcentral's name for it is "bacterial SSU rRNA". It matches the Rfam family "Bacterial small subunit ribosomal RNA", at positions 399 to 1008 of the family's 1533-position model. The record is from RNAcentral.
GCGUGAGUGAAGAAGGCCUUGGGGUUGUAAAGCUCUUUCGGUUGGAAAGAAGGGCUGCAUGGCUAAUAUCCAUGUAGUUUGACGGUACCAAAAGAAGAAGCACCUGCUAACUUCGUGCCAGCAGCAGCGGUAAUACGAAGGGUGCAAGCGUUGUUCGGAAUUACUGGGCGUAAAGGGCGCGUAGGCGGGUUUGUAAGUCGAAUGUGAAAUCCCCGGGCUUAACCUGGGACGUGCAUUCGAUACUGCUAAUCUUGAAUGCUUGAGAGGGUGGUGGAAUUCCUAGUGUAGAAGUGAAAUUCGUAGAUAUUAGGAGGAACACCUGAGGCGAAGGCGGCCACCUGGCAAGACAUUGACGCUAAGGCGCGAAAGUGCGGGGAGCAAACAGGAUUAGAUACCCUGGUAGUCCGCACCAUAAACGAUGGAUACUAGAUGUUUGGAGAAUUAACCCUCUGAGUAUCAAAGUUCACACAUUAAGUAUCCCGCCUGGGGAGUACGGCCGCAAGGCUGAAACUCAAAGGAAUUGACGGGGGCCCGCACAAGCGGUGGAGUAUGUGGUUUAAUUCGAAGCAACGCGCAGAACCUUACCUGAGUUUGACAUCCUACGAAUACUGCAGAGAUG